Molecule: small nuclear RNA, 144 nt
Organism: Accipiter nisus (Eurasian sparrowhawk)
Lineage: Eukaryota; Metazoa; Chordata; Aves; Accipitriformes; Accipitridae
Gene: U1
Rfam family: U1 spliceosomal RNA
About the family: U1 is a small nuclear RNA (snRNA) component of the spliceosome (involved in pre-mRNA splicing).
Source: Ensembl
GUACCUUCACUGGGGAGACACCACGAUAAAGACAGUGGGUUUUCCCACCAUAUCAUUCCUUACACAGAGGUGUGCUGACCCCUGUGAUUUACCCAAAAAUGGUAAGCUCAGCUGUGUAAUUUGUGGUCCCUGAGGAUUCUCUGG